AUAUUCUGGGAUUCUCAUUUUAAUUUUCACCAACCAACUGGGAUCAUCAGCCUUUGGACCAGCCAGCAACCAGGGAGCCAGUGAGCAGGCUACAUCCCUUGAGAGCCAGUACUGUAUUUUAUUUACUAUAACACUGGUCAUGACAUCCCGGCAGUUGCUGUGACUGUGAUGAAGAUCCUCGAGGUCACGGAACUGAAAUCAAGGCCAGGAACCAGAGCUUAAGGUUUGAAAACCGGAGUUGCUGAGGGGAUCCUGAGAGACACCUCCCCCCUACACUGCAGCAACAUGUCUACCGAAUUUAGACUGAUCUGUACCUAAUUCCCCCCACUCCCCUUCUGAGCAACCAGAUGGGAACGGGUGACACCG
Long non-coding RNA from Alligator sinensis (Chinese alligator), 366 nucleotides. RefSeq lists it as uncharacterized. The transcript has 3 exons. Lineage: Eukaryota; Metazoa; Chordata; Crocodylia; Alligatoridae. The record is from RefSeq and is a predicted model, not a curated record.